Molecule: transfer RNA, 89 nt
Filed under: Kitasatospora sp. NA04385
Lineage: Bacteria; Bacillati; Actinomycetota; Actinomycetes; Kitasatosporales; Streptomycetaceae
Description: tRNA-Lys
Source: RNAcentral
GCCGGUUAGGGUGAUCCUCGUCCAGGUGCGCAGGCGGGGGUUACUUCCUUUUGCGGAGUGUGUCGCGGGUUCGAGUCCCGUCACCGGCU